AACCUGCCCUUCAGAGGGGGACAACAGUUGGAAACGACUGCUAAUACCGCAUACGAUCUAACCUCGGCAUCGAGGAAAGAUGAAAGGUGGCCUCUAUGUAUAAGCUAUCACUGAAGGAGGGGAUUGCGUCUGAUUAGCUAGUUGGAGGGGUAACGGCCCACCAAGGCGAUGAUCAGUAGCCGGUCUGAGAGGAUGAACGGCCACAUUGGGACUGAGACACGGCCCAGACUCCUACGGGAGGCAGCAUG
This 248-nucleotide ribosomal RNA is filed under the name uncultured bacterium. Its description in RNAcentral is "partial 16S ribosomal RNA". It matches the Rfam family "Bacterial small subunit ribosomal RNA", at positions 123 to 353 of the family's 1533-position model. The record is from RNAcentral.